Molecule: long non-coding RNA, 896 nt
Filed under: Ananas comosus (pineapple)
Lineage: Eukaryota; Viridiplantae; Streptophyta; Magnoliopsida; Poales; Bromeliaceae
Description: long non-coding RNA (ACOM_LNC021897)
Source: RNAcentral
UAUCAAAACUAUAAACUAUUUUGAUUUGGCUAUUCAGCUUUUUAAAAUUUUGAUUUGAUUUGAGUUAGUCAACAAUACUUUGACUUUAAAAUUAGAAUGCGGUAUUUAUCUUUACAUAUCUAAGUAGUAUACUUUAUAUAAUUUUGGCAACUAUGAAUUCGUUGGAGUAAGUAAUUAGCAUACUUUUAAAGUUACAAUAUCGUUGAAUAACUCAAAUCAAAAAAAUUAUAAAGCUGGAUAGUAAAAUCAAAAUUUUGAAAGGUUGGGUAGCUAAUUCACAGUGAUCCGUUAUUCAGGUAAUUUUUGUAUAUCUUUACCAAAUUUUUUCUUAGUUUUUGCUGUAAAAUAUGAUAUGAAAUUAGUGUUUCAUUAUGUCAUUUUAUCAUAAGUGUACUUGUUGUGCGAAGGUAAUGUGAAAUAAAAAUAAAAAUAAAAAUUCACCAAUGGUAUCAGCUGGGUACGCAUGUCAACAUAUCGGAUUUGGGGCGAAUUUUUAAAAACCUGAACGUGAACCCGACUCCAAAUCCAAGACCCGAACUAGAAUCCGAACUAGACGGAUUUUAAAAAUCCAUAUCCAAAUCCGAACUCGGCCGAAAAUCCGAAACCCGAACCCGAAAAUUCUGAAACAAUUAUUAUUAUUUUUCAAUAAGUCAAAAUAUAUUAUAUUAAAUCUAAAUUUUUAAAACACAAAUUCAAAUAUAAUAUCAAAUUUUUAUAUAUAUUAUAUAUAAUUCAAAAUAAAUUCGGAUUCGGGUCUGAUUAGGGUUUGGGUUGGGUACAGUCAAAAUCCAUAUCCGAAUUUAUAUCCGUCGAGUUUUUAUUUUUGAUAUCCAUAUCCGAAUCCAUAUCAGCUUAGUAUUGAAUAUAUCCGCUCCAUUCGGAUUCGGAUUCAGAUA